RNAcentral lists this ribosomal RNA (465 nucleotides) under uncultured bacterium. RNAcentral describes it as "partial 16S ribosomal RNA". It matches the Rfam family "Bacterial small subunit ribosomal RNA", at positions 338 to 795 of the family's 1533-position model. The record is from RNAcentral.
CCUACGGGAGGCAGCAGUGGGGAAUAUUGCGCAAUGGGCGAAAGCCUGACGCAGCGACGCCGCGUGAGGGAUGAAGGUCUUCGGAUCGUAAACCUCUGUCAGCAGGGAAGAACGGUCACUGUGCUAAUCAGCAGUGAAUUGACGGUACCUGCAAAGGAAGCACCGGCUAACGCCGGGCCAGCAGCCGCGGUAAUACGGCGGGUGCGAGCGUUAAUCGGAAUUACUGGGCGUAAGGGGCGCGUAGGCGGUAUGUCAAGUCAAGGGUGAAAUCCCCGCGCUCAACGUGGGAACUGCCUUUGAAACUGUCAGACUGGAGUGUGGGAGAGGAGAGUGGAAUUCCAGGUGUAGGGGUGAAAUCCGUAGAGAUCUGGAGGAACAUCGGUUGCGAAGGCGACUAUCUGGCACAUAACUGACGCUGAGGAGCGAAAGCGUGGGUAGCAAACAGGAUUAGAUACCCUUGUAGUC